GAGCGGCCGAUAUCGGAUUAGCUAGUUGGCGGGAUAAAAGCCCACCAAGGCUACGAUCCGUAGCUGGUCUGAGAGGAUGAUCAGCCACACUGGAACUGAGACACGGUCCAGACUCCUACGGGAGGCAGCAGUGGGGAAUUUUGGACAAUGGGCGCAAGCCUGAUCCAGCCAUGCCGCGUGAGUGAAGAAGGCCUUCGGGUUGUAAAGCUCUUUCGGCAGGAACGAAAUGGUUCGUGCUAAUACCAUGGACUGAUGACGGUACCUGAAGAAGAAGCACCGGCUAACUACGUGCCAGCAGCCGCGGUAAUACGUAGGGUGCAGGCGUUAAUCGGAAUUACUGGGCGUAAAGCGUGCGCAGGCGGUUCCUUAAGUCAGAUGUGAAAGCCCCGGGCUUAACCUGGGAACUGCGUUUGAAACUGGGAGACUUGAGUGUGGCAGAGGGGGGUGGAAUUCCACGUGUAGCAGUGAAAUGCGUAGAUAUGUGGAGGAACACCGAUGGCGAAGGCAGCCCCCUGGGUUAACACUGACGCUCAUGCACGAAAGCGUGGGGAGCAAACAGGAUUAGAU
This 567-nucleotide ribosomal RNA is filed under the name uncultured bacterium. RNAcentral describes it as "bacterial SSU rRNA". It matches the Rfam family "Bacterial small subunit ribosomal RNA", at positions 224 to 783 of the family's 1533-position model. The record is from RNAcentral.